UACGUAGGAGACGAGCGUUGUCCGGAAUUACUGGGCGUAAAGCGCGUGUAGGCGGAUGAGCAAGUCUGCUGUGAAAGCUCCUGGCUUAACCGGGAGUAGUCGGUGGAAACUGCUCGUCUGGAGGACGGUAGAGGCUGGUGGAAUUUCCGGUGUAGUGGUGAAAUGCGUAGAGAUCGGGAGGAACACCUGUGGCGAAGGCGGCCAGCUGGGCCGGGCCUGACGCUGAGACGCGAAGGCGUGGGGAGCGAACGGG
RNAcentral lists this ribosomal RNA (253 nucleotides) under uncultured bacterium. Its description in RNAcentral is "partial 16S ribosomal RNA". It matches the Rfam family "Bacterial small subunit ribosomal RNA", at positions 524 to 776 of the family's 1533-position model. The record is from RNAcentral.